ACGCACGCUGGCGGCAUGCCUCACCCCUGCCAGUCGCACGCGACCUUCGGGUCUAGUGGCGCACGGGUGCGUAACGCGUGGGAACCUGCCCUUAGGUUCGGAAUAACUCCCCGAAAGGGGUGCUAAUACCGGAUAAUGUCUUCGGACCAAAGAUUUAUCGCCUUUGGAUGGGCCCGCGUUGGAUUAGCUAGUUGGUAGGGUAAAAGCCUACCAAGGCGACGAUCCAUAGCUGGUCUGAGAGGAUGAUCAGCCACACUGGGACUGAGACACGGCCCAGACUCCUACGGGAGGCAGCAGUGGGGAAUAUUGGACAAUGGGCGAAAGCCUGAUCCAGCAAUGCCGCGUGAGUGAUGAAGGCCUUAGGGUUGUAAAGCUCUUUUACCCGGGAUGAUAAUGACAGUACCGGGAGAAUAAGCUCCGGCUAACUCCGCG
This 432-nucleotide ribosomal RNA is filed under the name uncultured bacterium. RNAcentral describes it as "partial 16S ribosomal RNA". It matches the Rfam family "Bacterial small subunit ribosomal RNA", at positions 29 to 507 of the family's 1533-position model. The record is from RNAcentral.